RNAcentral lists this ribosomal RNA (1551 nucleotides) under Neisseria chenwenguii. Its description in RNAcentral is "bacterial SSU rRNA". It matches the Rfam family "Bacterial small subunit ribosomal RNA". The record is from RNAcentral. Lineage: Bacteria; Pseudomonadati; Pseudomonadota; Betaproteobacteria; Neisseriales; Neisseriaceae.
AGAGAUUGAACAUAAGAGUUUGAUCCUGGCUCAGAUUGAACGCUGGCGGCAUGCUUUACACAUGCAAGUCGGACGGCAGCGGGGGAGUGCUUGCACUUCUGCCGGCGAGUGGCGAACGGGUGAGUAAUGCAUCGGAACGUACCGAGUAGUGGGGGAUAACUGUCCGAAAGGAUGGCUAAUACCGCAUACGCUUUGAGAAGGAAAGCGGGGGAUCGCAAGACCUCGCGCUAUUCGAGCGGCCGAUGUCUGAUUAGCUGGUUGGUGGGGUAAAGGCCUACCAAGGCGACGAUCAGUAGCGGGUCUGAGAGGAUGAUCCGCCACACUGGGACUGAGACACGGCCCAGACUCCUACGGGAGGCAGCAGUGGGGAAUUUUGGACAAUGGGCGCAAGCCUGAUCCAGCCAUGCCGCGUGUCUGAAGAAGGCCUUCGGGUUGUAAAGGACUUUUGUCAGGGAAGAAAGGGUUUGGGCUAAUACCCCGGGCAUAUGACGGUACCUGAAGAAUAAGCACCGGCUAACUACGUGCCAGCAGCCGCGGUAAUACGUAGGGUGCGAGCGUUAAUCGGAAUUACUGGGCGUAAAGCGGGCGCAGACGGUUCGUUAAGCAAGAUGUGAAAUCCCCGGGCUCAACCUGGGAACUGCGUUUUGAACUGGCGGACUAGAGUGUGUCAGAGGGGGGUAGAAUUCCACGUGUAGCAGUGAAAUGCGUAGAGAUGUGGAGGAAUACCGAUGGCGAAGGCAGCCCCCUGGGAUGACACUGACGUUCAUGCCCGAAAGCGUGGGUAGCAAACAGGAUUAGAUACCCUGGUAGUCCACGCCCUAAACGAUGUCAAUUAGCUGUUGGGGCACUUGAUGCCUUAGUAGCGUAGCUAACGCGUGAAAUUGACCGCCUGGGGAGUACGGUCGCAAGAUUAAAACUCAAAGGAAUUGACGGGGACCCGCACAAGCGGUGGAUGAUGUGGAUUAAUUCGAUGCAACGCGAAGAACCUUACCUGGUCUUGACAUGUACGGAAUCCUUCGGAGACGGAGGAGUGCCUUCGGGAGCCGUAACACAGGUGCUGCAUGGCUGUCGUCAGCUCGUGUCGUGAGAUGUUGGGUUAAGUCCCGCAACGAGCGCAACCCUUGUCAUUAGUUGCCAUCAUUAAGUUGGGCACUCUAAUGAGACUGCCGGUGACAAGCCGGAGGAAGGUGGGGAUGACGUCAAGUCCUCAUGGCCCUUAUGACCAGGGCUUCACACGUCAUACAAUGGUCGGUACAGAGGGUAGCCAAGCCGCGAGGUGGAGCCAAUCUCACAAAACCGAUCGUAGUCCGGAUUGCACUCUGCAACUCGAGUGCAUGAAGUCGGAAUCGCUAGUAAUCGCAGGUCAGCAUACUGCGGUGAAUACGUUCCCGGGUCUUGUACACACCGCCCGUCACACCAUGGGAGUGGGGGAUACCAGAAGUAGAUAGACUAACCGCAAGGAGGUCGUUUACCACGGUAUGCUUCAUGACUGGGGUGAAGUCGUAACAAGGUAGCCGUAGGGGAACCUGCGGCUGGAUCACCUCCUUUCUA